AACGUUAAUCGGAUCAGGGUUAGUCGGGACCUAAGACGAACCGAAUCAGGGUAGUCGAUGGAAAACAGGUUAAUAUUCCUGUACCAGCGGAGAGGGACGGAGAGACGUGGCAACUACGUACUGACGGAAUAGUACGUUGAGCUUAGCCCUCGUGGCGAAGCGAAGUUGUAAAAUCUCUUCCAAGAAAAGCUCCCGCAAUAGCCCGUACCGUAAACCGACACAGGUGGCCGGGUUG
Molecule: ribosomal RNA, 235 nt
Filed under: Climacostomum virens
Lineage: Eukaryota; Ciliophora; Heterotrichea; Heterotrichida; Climacostomidae
Description: partial Bacterial large subunit ribosomal RNA
Rfam family: Bacterial large subunit ribosomal RNA
Source: RNAcentral